Molecule: ribosomal RNA, 363 nt
Filed under: Triticum aestivum (bread wheat)
Lineage: Eukaryota; Viridiplantae; Streptophyta; Magnoliopsida; Poales; Poaceae
Description: partial small subunit ribosomal RNA
Source: RNAcentral
AUGGCUUGUGACGAGUGCCGCGGUCCGAACCAUAAACAGAAAGAUUGCCCCACACUACCCUGUCACAACUGUGGGGGAACUCUUCACACCCGAGGCACUUGCUGUUACACGGAUCCUGUUUACCGCGUUGGAGAAAGAUGUCCCAGAUGUGGUGGUUUUCAACACGGGGUACCCGGCAAGCCCCCCUGCCCAGUCCAAGAAGCUCAUGCUCGCCCGCCUAUGUGCCCGCGGUGUCAAGUGCCACAUCGUCCAAGAGACUGCCCUCAUCGUGGAGCCGAAUAUUCCGGGUGGACAAGCUCCGACAGAUGCACGCAAUGCAAUGAAACUGGUCAUUUUUUCCCCGACUGCCCUAACAAAUACUAG